Molecule: long non-coding RNA, 995 nt
Filed under: Daucus carota (carrot)
Lineage: Eukaryota; Viridiplantae; Streptophyta; Magnoliopsida; Apiales; Apiaceae
Description: long non-coding RNA (DCAR_LNC001053)
Source: RNAcentral
ACUUCAGCAACUCAAUCACAACUUCAUGUCCUUAAGGUUCUGCUGCACCUUUCUGUGCACCUAUAAGGGACAUAAUUAAUCAUUAAGAUCCUUUAUAACUCUAUAUCAUAGUGUGUGUGUACGUGUUACCUACUCUUAAAGUCCCUUCUAAUCAGUCUUAUUAUCAAUCCUUUCAUUUUAAGGAGAUUUGGUACUAACUGUUUCUCAUCUCACGUAUUAUUGUUACUAUUUACACCUUUAGGUUCCGACAUUUUUCACUUAUAAAUCUUUCGAGUUUUUCUUACGAAACCAACUCAUAUACCUCCCAAUUUGUCCCUAGUAUUUACUCAAAUUAUUUCAUGAUUUAUAUCAUCUUUGAACUAGUCGAAUUGUAACCUCAAAGUUCAUUGUCUUACGGAAACUAGGACUCUGCGCGUCUUGUACUAAAAUGACCAUAACUUCUAAAUCGUAAAUCUGUUUUGCAUGAUUCAAGCGCUCACGCGAUCUACUAAUCAAGAUCUAUCCAACUAUAUAAAGAAACUUCAUAAAUGCAAAGUGAAGACCCACAGGUGAACCGUAACAGUAGCUGUCUCUUGUAAACCCGGCAUUAUAACGGCUAUAAUCUUAAUGUUGCCGUGGUUAAACUCAUGUUAACGACUUACCCAAGCAAUUAUAUCAACUUAAUAUCAUCAUACUCUAUAUACCCAGCCUUGUUGUUCCAUACACAAGUCAAGAACUUUCAUCUUACAAGCUUACACAACAAACCCAUCAUGUAGCUAACUUAAUACUUAUAGAAUUAUGUAAGUAUAAACAAGCUAGAAUCGAAGCCAUUUUUGAACAUGUUACUGAAGAUGAAAUCAAGAAUCUUACCCCUCAAAUCGCAGCCCUUGUCAAGCUCUUCGAAACAAGCUAUAGAACGUCAAAAUCCGAGCUAGGAAUCUUUUUCUAUGAAUUUUCUUCUCCUCCCUAUUUUAUAGUUCUUCCACUUCGAAUUUUUUCAUCAAAAUGGAUAAACU